This 500-nucleotide ribosomal RNA is filed under the name uncultured bacterium. RNAcentral describes it as "partial 16S ribosomal RNA". It matches the Rfam family "Bacterial small subunit ribosomal RNA", at positions 30 to 523 of the family's 1533-position model. The record is from RNAcentral.
AUUGAACGCUGGCGGCAUGCCUUACACAUGCAAGUCGAACGGCAGCGCGGACUUCGGUCUGGCGGCGAGUGGCGAACGGGUGAGUAAUACAUCGGAACGUACCCUGUUGUGGGGGAUAACUAGUCGAAAGAUUAACUAAUACCGCAUACGACCUGAGGGUGAAAGUGGGGGACCGCAAGGCCUCACGCCGCAGGAGCGGCCGAUGUCUGAUUAGCUAGUUGGUGGGGUAAAGGCCCACCAAGGCGACGAUCAGUAGCUGGUCUGAGAGGACGAUCAGCCACACUGGGACUGAGACACGGCCCAGACUCCUACGGGAGGCAGCAGUGGGGAAUUUUGGACAAUGGGGGCAACCCUGAUCCAGCAAUGCCGCGUGUGUGAAGAAGGCCUUCGGGUUGUAAAGCACUUUUGUCCGGAAAGAAAUCGCGCUGGUUAAUACCUGGCGUGGAUGACGGUACCGGAAGAAUAAGCACCGGCUAACUACGUGCCAGCAGCCGCAGUAA